This 10493-nucleotide long non-coding RNA is filed under the name Malus domestica (apple). RNAcentral describes it as "long non-coding RNA (MDOM_LNC008683)". Lineage: Eukaryota; Viridiplantae; Streptophyta; Magnoliopsida; Rosales; Rosaceae. The record is from RNAcentral.
AUAAGAAAGCUUAGCUAUUAAAACCUGAAGGGGCGAAAAACAAGGGUGAGGGGCCUGAAAAUAAAGUUUUAUAAAAACCUUUCUGAAAACAUUGUAACCCCUCGUCGUAAAACAAGUAUAGUUUCCAAAAUAUACUUACUAUGUAUAGUAUAACAAUACUUACCAUAGUCUGAAAAAUCUCAAGAAUUCAUUACGGCACAAUAUCUCGUAAAUAAGGACAUGACAUCCAAAAUCACAAAAUCUCACAUAAGCAACAUAUCAUAUUGGGUGUUUAUCAACACGUGCUGACACACGAGUUUAUGCAGAUGUGUUCUGACAUGAACAUGAAUGGAUGUAAUCAUAAUAUAUGCUCCAGUACUACAAUCACGUAAAGACUGGCGCUAUUCGCUAUCACAUACGAGUCAGAGUUGCCUAUAGUAAGCUUACUUGUGCAUCCCGUAGGAUUAUUUCAUCAUUUCCCAACAAAAAGGUAUUUCUUAUAAACAUUAAUUUAAUCAUGGAAAUCGCAUAAAGAAUUUAUUAAUGCUUGUAUAUAUGGAAACUAACCAAUAUAUAUAAGAAAAGAUCCACUCACAGGUCAUGUUGCUGAGUCAAACCCGUCUCAUAGCAUCGAGAGUCCUUGUGAUCCAUUUCGCCUAGAAAUGAAACCAUUUAGGUAAAUAUAACGUGCUAAUGAAAUUACACAUUUUCGUACAAAGUAUGGCUAAUAAAGGAACUUUCCUACAAUGGUCAAAUUUCAGAAAACGGACGGCGGAUUCGGAAUCAGCGCGUCGAAAUACGCUAAGGAGGGUCCAUAACCCUACACAAGUCAAUCUGGAACAUCCGCCCAGGGAUUUCUGAUCCCUAACUUCCCAAAGUCCACAUUAUACUUCUAGAACAACAUACUAAAACUUCUUUACCAUCCAACGGUUAGAUCUCCGCCAAUCGUAAAUUCAAGUGGCGGUCAAAGUUGGAUUUUACAAAUUUUAAAAAUUCAAUUCGGAAAGAUCCAUACAUCAGAUUCCCAAUCCAUAAGUUCCUAAUGUCCACAAAUAUUACGUAGUAUUAUGAAUUAAAGUUUGGUGCCGAUCCAACGGUCGAAUUGUCCACUCAUAUAAUAACCAAGUGGCGACCAACUAGGCAGCCCACUACAAAACUAUAUUAGAAUAUCAAGAUUUCAUUAAACGAAUGUCAAUUAUGGAAUCGGAGCAUCAAAUUAGCCUAGGAUGCUCAGGUGGGUCCUUGGCCCACGUGUCACUCCGACUCAUCUGAAAAAUCAACUAUUUCAAAAAAUUACCAAAUUUCACAAAAAUGAAGAUCUCAAUGAGUAGAGCAAGUUUUAUACCUGUGGCCAAGUUCAAUUUGGCCGAGAGAAGCUCCAAUUGCCCUCGAAGUCGCCGGAAACCCUAGAAAUAGGUGGCUUCGAUCCAUCACCUCCGAUGCUCUACCGCCCCCAUAGCUGUUUGGGCUUUGUUCUAGGCUUCAAAAUGAGUCUAAUGGUGGUGGUAAUUGAAGGAAAACAUUUCAAAAUUGAUGGAUCUUGGGCAAGGGUUUCCGCGGCAUCCACGGGUAUUUCUUUGUGACAUCUCAACCAAUUUGUGUCGAUUUUAGCUAGAAAUGGAUGUUAGGAUGUGGUGAUGAGGUUUGGUGGUGGUGAAUGGGUGAAAAUCACCUGAAAAAUGGAUGAGAAUCGCUGGAAAACCCUCUAGGUCGAAACUGGGUUGAGUGAGUAGGUGCAUGGGUCAUGUUUGGAUGCUCUGCACCUCUCUCAUUUCCCCUCCUUUCUCUCCUCUCUAGUUGUCACUCUCUCUCUUCCAUCUGAUUGAGCAACCACCCUCCUUUUCUCUCCUCUAAUUGGGCAGCAACUCCCUCAUUCCUAUUAUUUCUUCCUUAUUUCCUCCAUCCAUUCCUUCUCCUAUCCUUUAUUUCUCACAACUAAUAUUAAAAUAAUAAUAUAAUAAUUAUAAGAAAUAUAUAAAAUAAUAAAUGGUAAUCUUUACAAAAGUACUUUUCGGAUUUGUAGUUUCGUAAAACUCCUAUCGUAACUCCGGUUUAUUUCAGAUUACGCUUAUGCGAUCGUCCCGUCGAGAACUUCAAGAGUAUGGUAACAUAGUAACUUGCACAGGUCACUAAAUGCCAGUCAACGAGAGUGCAACAUCCUCGACUCUAAGGGCAUUUUUGUAAAAUCACUCUUUUAAAAUUUAUAAAAUCAUGAAAUUAGGGACGAGUUGUCACAAAAACAACCUGUGUAAUAUGUUUAUUAUGGUAAUAACAUUUUUUUUGUGAAUGUGAUGUAGAUUUCUCAUUUGUUGUAUUAGUUUUUAUUUUAUUUAUUUUAUCUCAGAAGCUAUUUUUCAUUAUGACUAACUAAAAUAUAUUUAUUCAUGUCUAGAAAAAGUACUAAUUUAUACCUGUAAUGAUCUUCCAAGAAUGAAGUUAAUGGAAAAACAGAUUAUAGAUAAAAAAUGAUAAUAUGUGUUAAUCGAAUAUCAUAAAAUAACAUUGUUUUCGUUGUCUAUGGAUAUAAACACCUGAGUGAUUAAGGCAGUCAAUUUUUGAACACAUUUCUAGAAACAAUUUAACAUAAAAUAAAAUCAUCUGACAUCGUUUUGCAAGCAUAGAGAAACAGAACAAAAGUUAAUUCAAUAGCUAAACAGAUUUCAAAGAAAAUAGAAAAUAAUAAAUUUUUUUAUUAAAGCAAAUACCUGCAAAGAGUUUAACUCUAAAGCUUGUAAAAAUAACAAUUAUUGGCUUGGGUAGCUGUUCUGAUGAAAGAGCAGAGAAGCUAUGCGCAACAUCUGACCAUAGUGUAAUCUUAGCCUCUUUAUUUCUGUAAAAGAAGAAGAAGAAGAACAACAACAAAGCUUUUUCCCACUAAGUGGGGUCGGCUAUAUGAAUCCUAGAACGCCAUUGCGCUCGGUUGUGUGUCAUGUCCUCCGUUAGAUCCAAGUACUCUAAGUCUUUUAUUAGGGUCUCUUCCAAAGUUUUCCUAGGUCUUCCUCUACCCCUUCGGCCCUGAACCUCUGUCCCGUGGUCACAUCUAACUAACAGUUUAAAGGAGAUGGAUACGUGUAAAAGAACUGUGCAUUACACAUAGUAAACUAAAAAAUGAAUGUACCAUUUGACAACAUAAAAUAGAAGAAUAAAGAGUUUAGAGAUCAAUUGUAUACAAUCUUUACUACAGAGAGUAUAAAAACCAUGUCAUGUGCAUUAAAACAAAUAACUCAUCCUUAACACAGAAGAUCAAAUGUUUAUAAACUAAUUUUACGAAAAAAUGAUCACUAACCUUUUCAUCAACCAAUAUACAAUGUAAGGUUGUAUAUUUAUCGCCCAUGCCUGGAUACUUUGGUUUCCAUAUUCUACAAACACACACUUUAAUUUUGACAACCAUUUAUAUGCCACCAAUUGGUCAAGUGGAGUUGGACCUUCAUCUUCCAUUUAAUCUAUACAAAUGAAAUACAAAAUUAAUCUUUUACACACACACACAUACACAAAGCAAGUGCUUCCUAAUCCAAAGAGUCAAUCACAAUAAAGCAGCAGAUUAGUGAAUAGUCAAUCAUGAUUUCUUUUGAGGCCAAAAAACCUCAUUAGUGAUGGUGAAUCAAUAUGGAAGUCGCUCUAGAUUAGCGAUGAUGAUUUUAAAAUGGACACUGAAGAGCCAUUCAUUGAACGAUGUAACUAUUAAAUCUGUUAAAUUGCAGCAGGAAAAGCUUAACAUACACUCUUAAAUUGAGAUGCUGGUCCAAGAGUCAUAAAUAGUUACCAAUAUGUAUUAUCAUCCGCAACAACUAUCAAAUUAAUUCUUUUGAUUACUUAGUUACCGACAUAGCUAUUAUUCCUGACAAACUAAUGAUGGUAAGUGAUUAUCUAUAAACAAACCCUUCUUCCAAUUGCUAUUUUCUUAGUUGCCAAAAUCUUCCACCACGACGAUAAAAAUAGCCAUAUUUUCAUGAAGGUAUACCCACUGUAUAUAGUUACACAUCUAAACCCAAAUCUGUAUACCACAUACGAAUGCCAAAUCAACUAAUUUGAAAAAAAAUAUUAAAGGUCAAGACCAAUAACAAACGGGAACUUUACAUUUCAUUGAAAUAUAAAUUGCAAGUUUAACAUGAAAACUAGACCAAUCUACACAAAAAUAACGUAAAAACUAAUUGAAAGUUUCUAAACGAAGGCAAAACCAACAACAACAACAACAAAGCCUUUUCCCACUAAGUGGGGUCGGCUAUAUGAAUCCUAGAACGCCAUUGCGCUCGGUUUUGUGUCAUGUCCUCCGUUAGAUCCAAGUACUCAAGUCUUUUCUUAGGGUCUCUUCCAAAGUUUUCCUAGGUCUUCCUCUACCCCUUCGGCCCUGAACCUCUGUCCCGUAGUCACAUUUUCGAACCGGAGCGUCAGUAGGCCUUCUUUGCACAUGUCCAAACCACCGGAACCGAUUUUCUCUCAUAUUUCCUUCAAUUUUGGCUACUCCUACUUUACCUCGGAUAUCCUCAUUCCCAAUCUUAUCAUUUCUCGUGUGCCCAUACAUCCCACGAAGCAUCCUCAUCUCCGCUACACCCAUUUUGUGUACGUGUUGAUGCUUCACCGCCCAACAUUCUGUGCCAUACAACAUCGCUGGCCUUAUUGCCGUCCUAUAAAAUUUUCCCUUGAGCUUCAGUGGCCUACGACGGUCACACAACACGCCGGAUGCACUCUUACACUUCAUCCAUCCAGCUUGUAUUCUAUGGUUGAGAUCUCCAUCUAAUUCUCCGUUCUCUUGCAAGAUAGAUCCUAGGUAGCGAAAACGGUCACUUUUUGUGAUCUUCGCUAGAUUGCUCCGGUCAUUAGUGUAGAUAAGUAUAUAAAUGGAUAGAGAUAGGAGAGCAAACACAAGAUGUACGUGGUUCACCCAGAUUGGCUACGUCCACGGAAUAGAGGAGUUCUCAUUAAUUGUGAAGGGUUUACACAAGUACAUAGGUUCAAGCUCUCCUUUAGUGAGUACAAGUGAAUGAUUUAGUACAAAUGACAUUAGGAAAUAUUGUGGGAGAAUGAUCUCGUAACCACGAAACUUCUAAGUACCGGAGUGUGGUAUCGUCUUGACUUGCCUUAUCUGUCUCAUAGGUACAUGUGGCAUAUUCUCUGGAAGUACUCUUCCUCCAUCCAGGGGUGGUAUCUGUAACUGGUGGAGAUGCACAAGGUAAUGUAUCAAUUUCACUUGAAGCUUACUUGUAGUUUCAGGCUUGGCCAAGUGCGAUACAAACCAUGUAGUAGGAGUCCCCCAAGUCGCCGAGCUAGGGGAUCUGCUGAAAGAGGUGACAGACAAGGUAAGCAAUCAGAGCUCCGGCUGAUUGUUCACAUUCUCCCUAUCUUGCAGGCAGCAUGAAGGAUAAAGAGAAGAAAAAUGAGAAGAGAUGAUAUGGGAUACUUUUGCUUUUGAAGAAGUAACUUUCCACAGGCUUAUUCUUGAACUGGGCUGGAGGGUUUUUUGGUUUCCUCCAGAGUAUAAGGCCGACUGAAGAAUUUGAGGGUCAAAACAAGUCCAUCAAAUCUAGUGUACGUUCGACCCUGCUGAUAUGGGAUACUUUUGCUUUUGACAGAGUAGUGGAUGUAUCGGCACGUGUGCUGUUACGCUUGUCUCCACAUGCUUCCUUGUAUCCUUCUCACUUGCCCUAUCUGUUCCUCAGGCAGAUGCGGUAUCUUCCCUGGAAGCAUAAGAUGUUGAAGAUGAGUACUCGAGAGCAAUGCCAGGUAAGUAAUCAGGUAAGGGGUUCCAGGCAGUCAGUUCCUGGCUGGAAGCUUGAUUCCAAGUGCUGACUGAUUGCUCUCUUUCUCCUUGUCUUGCAGGUAAGAACAAGGCCAAAGGAAAAGACAGGGAAAAAGCAUGAUAUGGGAUACUCUUGCUUUUAACCCUGAUGAUAUGAGAUAUUCUUGCUCUAGUAUAGCUUGUUUACAAAUGUAUUAUCGGGGGGAAAGAAAGCUGAAUAUUUCGAAAGGCUUCGUUGGGAGUGCCCUCUCAGAUAAGAGGAAGGGUUGAGCAUUUUUGCAGGUAUGCCUGUCCGUUGGGGAUGGAGGUCGACAUAUAUAGGAGUCUCCCUAACAUCAAGUAAUAAUGCUAUUCCUUUACCCUGCUUGAUCAUAGUACGGUAGUGGGAGCUGCCAGCUUCACAUGUUUUAACUCUGUCAGAGCACUUUGAAAAAGUGGUCUGUGGUAUCUGGAAAGCUGAUGUUGCGUGUGAAGAUUACAGAGAAGCUUUAUCCAAGGAGAUCCAGCUCCUGAAGUUGGGAAAGUGGUGCCUCUUCGGUUUUCGAACAAGCAAUCCUGUCGGGGAUCUGGCUCUCGAGAUUCGGAGAACGAUGCCUUUUCGAUUUUUGAGAAAAUAAUCCUGCUGGGGGUCUGGCUCUCGAGAUUCGGAGAGCGGUGUCUCUUCGAUUUUUGAGAAAGUAAUCAUGUUGGGAGUCCGGCUCUCGAGAUUCUGAGGGCGGUGCCUCUUCGAUUUUGGAGCAAGCAAUCUUGUUGGGAGUGUUUUCUCGAAUAUGAGUAAAGGUUGGGCAUGUUUGCUAGUCUACCUUGCCACGAAACACAGAGGUUGACACACAGGGACUUUCCAAUUAUCCAGCAGUGGUACUGUUCCUUUACCAUCUCUUCGAUUUUUUAGAAAGUAAUCAUGUUGGGAGUCUGGCUCUCGAGAUUCGGAGGGCGAUGCCUCUUCGAUUUUGGAGCAAGCAAUCUUGUUGGGAGUGUUUUCUCGAAUAUGAGUAAAGGUUGGGCAUGUUUGCUAGUCUACCUUGCCACGAAGCACAGAGGUUGACACACAGGGACUUUCUAAUUAUCCAGCAGUGGUACUGUUCCUUUACCUUCUCUUCAAUUUUUGAGAAAGUAAUCAUGUUGGGAGUCUGGCUCUCGAGAUUCGGAGGGCGGUGCCUCUUCGAUUUUGGAGCAAGCAAUCUUGUUGGGAGUGUUUUCUCGAAUGUGAGUAAAGGUUGGACAUGUUUUCUAGUCUACCUUGCCACAAAGCACAGAGGUUGACACACCGGGACUUUCCAAUUAUCCAGCAGUGGUACUGUUCCUUUACCCUUGUGGGUAAUAAUAUGGUAGCUAGACCUUCAAAAUUUAUGUGUCUAAACUUUGUUAGUGUUGUUUCUUUGCUAUUCUUUUACCCUUCUUGGUCAGAGCGAUGUAGUAGGAGCUGGAAGCUUCACGUGUCUCAACUUUGUCAGAGAACUUUGACAAAGUUAUCUGUGGUACCCAUGAGCUACUGUUGCGUGUGGGAAGUGGGUGAUUGAACAGUACGAUUCAUGUGCUUUUUACUUCGCCAGAAAUCUUCGACAGAAUGCCCAUAAUUUCCGCAAAGCUGAGUGUGCGUGUGACAGGUGCUGACAAGGCUGGAAAAGUAGGUGCCUCUUCGAUUUCUGAGAUCGGCCCUCGUGGUCUCUGAGCAGCCCAGCUUUUGAGAAAGCAAGCCUCUUCGAUUUCUGAGAUCGGCCGUCGUGGUUUUUGAGCAUCCCAGCUUUUGAGAAAGCAAACGCCUCUUCGAUUUCUGAGAUCGACCCUCGUGGUCUCUGAGCAGCCCAGCUUUUGAGAAAGCAAACGCCUCUUCGAUUUCUGAGCAGGCGCCUCUUCGAUUUCUGAAGCUUCGUCGAGUGCAGAUUUUUAUAGGGGCUGACAUUAAGUUCCAAAGCACACUUGAAUAUCCACCAGUAGAAGCUCCAUUCUUGCACUUCUAAGAUCUUGAUUUGUCCGACCUCUUCUCUCUUCAACACCUUUGAAAAUGUCUGGCCCCUCCGACCGUCGUUUUGACUUGAACCUUGUUGAAGAGGCAGCCCCACAUUCUCCAGACAACAUAUGGCGCCCAUCCUUCGUCUCCCCUACUGGUCCUCUUACCGUUGGGGAUUUCGUGAUGAAGAAUGAUAUGACCGCUGCGGUAGUGGCCAGGAACCUUCUCACUCCCAAAGAUAACAGACUACUUUCCAAACGGUCUGAUGAGUUGGCUGUUAAGGAUUCUCUGGCUCUCAGUGUUCAGUGUGCAAGUUCUGUGUCUAAUAUGGCCGAACGCCUAUUUGCUCGAACCCGCCAUGUUGAAUCAUUGGCGGCUGAAGUGAUGAGUCUCAAACAGGAGAUUAGAGGGCUCAAGCAUGAGAAUAAACAGUUGCACCGGCUCGCACAUGACUAUGCUACAAACAUGAAAAUGAAGCUUGACCAGAUGAAGGAAUCUGAUGGUCAGGUUUUACUUGAUCAUCAGAGAUUUGUGGGUUUGUUCCAAAGGCAUUUAUUGCCUUCGUCUUCUGGGGCUGUACCGCGUAAUGAAGCUCCAAAUGAUCAACCUCUGAUGCCUCCUCCUUCUAGGGUUCUGUCCAGUACUGAGGCUCCGAAUGAUCCCCCUCCGGUGCCUUCUCUUUCUGGGGCUCUACCGAUUGCUGAGACUUCUCCUAAGCAACCUUUGUGAAGGCUCCCUCUUGUUUGUUUAUUUUGACUCAAGUAUAUGUACAUAUUUGUAACUUAUCGGGGAUAUCAAUAAAUAAGCUUUCCUUCAUUUCAACGUAUUGUGUUAAAUACACCAAAGCCUUUUUCGCUAAGUUCUUUGAAUUUUCUUUUGUUGAAGCUUGUCUGUUGAAGCUUUGUGAGUGGAGCAUGUAGGUUGAGGUAGUGUUCCCUUAAUUUCCCGAGUGAGGAAAACUUCUCGGUUGGAGACUUGGAAAAUCCAAGUCACUGAGUGGGAUUGGCUAUAUGAAUCUUAGAACGCCAUUGUGUUCUGUCCUGUGUCAUGUCCUCCGUUAGAUCCAAGUACUCUAAGUCUUUUCUUAGGGUCUCUUCCAAAGUUUUCCUAGGUCUUCCUCUACCCCUUCGGCCCUGAACCUCUGUCCCAUAGUCGCAUCUUCUAAUCGGAGCGUCAGUAGGCCUUCUUUGCACAUGUCCAAACCACCGUAACCGAUUUUCUCUCAUCUUUCCUUCAAUUUCGGCUACUCCUACUUUACCCCGGAUAUCCUCAUUCCUAAUCUUAUCCUUUCUCGUGUGCCCACACAUCCAACGAAGCAUCCUCAUCUCCGCUACACCCAUUUUGUGUACGUGUUAAUGCUUCACCGCCCAACAUUCUGUGCCAUACAGCAUCGCCGGCCUUAUUGCCGUCCUAUAAAAUUUUGCCUUGAGCUUCAGUGGCAUACGGCGGUCACACAACACGCCGGAUGCACUCUUUCACUUCAUCCAUCCAGCUUGUAUUCUAUGGUUAAGAUCUCCAUCUAAUUCUCCGUUCUUUUGCAAGAUAGAUCCUAGGUAACGAAAACGGUCGCUCUUUGGUAUUUCUUGAUCUCCGAUCCUCACCCCUAACUCGUUUUGACUUCCAUUUGCACUGAACUUGCACUCCAUAUAUUCUGUCUUUGAUCGGCUUAGGCGAAGACCUUUAGAUUCCAACACUUCUCUCCAAAGGUUAAGCUUUGCAUUUACCCCUUCCUGAGUUUCAUCUAUCAACACUAUAUCGUCUGCAAAAAGCAUACACCAAGGAAUAUCAUCUUGAAUAUGUCCUGUUAACUCAUCCAUUACCAACGCAAAAAGGUAAGGACCUAAGGAUGAGCCUUGAUGUAAUCCUACAGUUAUGGGAAAGCUUUCGGUUUGUCCUUCAUGAGUUCUUACGGCAGUCUUUGCUCCUUCAUACAUAUCCUGUAUAGCUUGGAUAUAUGCUACUCGUACUUCUUUCUUCUCUAAAAUCCUCCAAAGAAUGUCUCUUGGGAUCCUAUCAUACGCUUUUUCCAAAUCUAUAAAGACCAUGUGUAAAUCCUUUUUCCCAUCUUUAUAUCUUUCCAUCAAUCUUCGUAAGAGAUAGAUUGCCUCCAUGGUUGAGCGCCCUGGCAUGAACCCGAAUUGGUUGUUCGAAAUCCGUGUCUCUUGCCUCAAUCUAUGCUCAAUGACUCUCUCCCAGAGCUUCAUUGUAUGACUCAUUAGCUUAAUACCUCUAUAGUUCAUGCAAUUUUGUACAUCGCCCUUAUUCUUGUAGAUAGGCACCAAAGUGCUCGUUCGCCACUCAUUUGAUCUGAAAUAAUUAAAACAACUAAACAUAGCACUCAAAUAACUCCAUAAAAAGCAAAAAGUCUAAAAACCCAUUACCUAACAAAGAUAGCAAGAAAUCUUUGUGCAAAUCGUCAAGAGAGAACCUGUGAAACGCUGAACACAAAAGUACAAAAAAAAGGAAAAAAAAACAAUUAAAAUUCGAUGCUCAAAACGAAAUAACAUUACACACGGUAGACUAACAACAUCACAGUAGCAGGGAAAUAACAGAAGCUAAAAAGCAAAACAAAUACAAAGACAAAAAACAGAACAAAAAAGAGAACAAAACUUACAAACCUAGAUUUGGAAGCAGCAAAAACACAAAUGGGACAACCCAGAACUCCAAAACAAAAGAAAACAACUAAAGAGAGAGAAAUAAGAAAGGAAAGCUAAAAUGGAAAAGGUGAGGGAUGAUCGACACGUGGCGGAAGCUAAACCGAAAGCCAAAAAAACCAGCAAAACCAAAAACAACAAAAAGCAUCUUUCCCACAGGAAGAAGAGGCGG